CUGGACUCCCAGGUCUGAAGGAUGGGGCUGGGAGCCAGAAUUGGGUCUGAGGGAGGAAUGCCUGGGGACCUGGACUCCUGGGUCUGAGGGAGGAGGGGCUGGGGGCCUGAACUUGUGAGUCUGGGAGGAUGGUCUAGGAGCCAGACCCCAUUUCUCAGGAAGCCCCGUGGGGUGACUCCCCGUGUUACCCAUCUCUCCUGUAAACAUCCUGGUGGGUACUGAGUGGGCCCCGGGCUGCCUUCGUCAGAGAUGACACAGGUUAGAGGGGGCUCUGCAGGGGGCCGGGGGUGAGGGUCAGAGGGGUUGUGGGGCUGAGGCCGGGCAGCUGCUGACCGUUUCCUGUGUCAACAUCAUCUGGACCCACUUCCCAAUUCCCGGGAUUCCUCAGGGAUCAAGGAGGGGGUGGGGGGCGGGGCCGCCUGGCCUUGGACCGCGGCUUGGGACUGGGGGGGCCCCGCCGUCACGGCCCUCACCGCUAAUGACAGGUUUGGGCUGCCUCUGUGGCCGGCCUGCCCCGUCACCCCCCAGAGGCCAGACGGGACCCCCCAGGGACUGACAGACGGACACACACACAGCCUGGGACCUGCUGACCUCACACCCUGCCGGCUCGGCUUCCCCCCGGGGCCGCGCGGGAGCCAGGACUCCCUGGCCAUCCCCCAUGUCCCCGAGGCUUCUCCUCAGUGUCUGUGACCACCCCAGGGCCUGGGCCCUGGCUGCCCAGUCUGUUUCCGAGCCUCCAAGCUGGUCUCUAGCUUCCACUGGGUUCCGUGGCGCUGGCUGCCUCCUGGGGCCUUUGCUGCCCCUGUCUCUCCAGCUCUGUUUGUCUCUGUCAUCUGUCAUUUUCUUGGGACUCCCCAGUCCUGCCUCUGGGUUUCUUUUCCGAUCUUCAUCUCUUGCUCUGUCUCUCUCUCUCUCUCUUUCUCUUGUUUGCACAGAAGUAGCCCAAUGUGUCCCACCCUGGCCUGGGCAGACCCAGGAGUUGCCAGUCACUCCCAGCCCCGUCACUCUGCACCCGCCCCAUCUACCUGUACCUCCUGCAGCCACACUGCGGGGACGGAGUCUGAGCCCACAACCCAGGGCUGGGGACCCAGACGAGACAGGAAACUGGCAGCGGCUGGGACCCCAGAUUUGUCCCAGACCCAUUACCUUCCCCACACAUGCUCCCCAAAGUGCAGAAGGGCCCCAAGAUCCUCCUCUACCUUUCUUGAACUAGAAUUUAGGGCCUGGACUCCUGGGUCUGAGGGAGGAAGGCCUGGGAGCCUGGACUCCUGGG
RNAcentral lists this long non-coding RNA (1273 nucleotides) under Homo sapiens (human). RNAcentral describes it as "non-protein coding lnc-IL11-1:1". Lineage: Eukaryota; Metazoa; Chordata; Mammalia; Primates; Hominidae. The record is from RNAcentral.